AUUGAACGCUGGCGGAAUGCUUUACACAUGCAAGUCGAACGGCAGCACGGGUGCUUGCACCUGGUGGCGAGUGGCGGAACGGGUGAGUAAUGCACCGGAACGUAUCCAAUAAUGGGGGAUAACGCACCGAAAGGUGUGCUAAUACCGCAUACGCCCUGAGGGGGAAAGCGGGGGAUCGUAAGACCUCGCGUUAAUGGAGCGGCCGAUGCCGGAUUAGCUAGUUGGUGAGGUAAAGGCUCACCAAGGCGACGAUCCGUAGCUGGUCUGAGAGGACGACCAGCCACACUGGAACUGAGACACGGUCCAGACUCCUACGGGAGGCAGCAGUGGGGAAUUUUUGGGACAAUGGGCGCAAGCCUGAUCCAGCCAUUCCGCGUGAGUGAAGAAGGCCUGGUUGUAAG
Molecule: ribosomal RNA, 401 nt
Filed under: uncultured bacterium
Lineage: Bacteria
Description: bacterial SSU rRNA
Rfam family: Bacterial small subunit ribosomal RNA
Source: RNAcentral